CCCACACACACUCCAGCCCAGCUGUCUACAGUGAUAAAUGAUGGGCCUUUCUUUAAAUUUCCUUUCUGCUCUGCGUGAGGACUGGCCAGUGUGGAUAUGUACUCGACACGGAUAAAUGGCUCUGGCAAGCCCACCAGACUGUCCACGUGGCAACAGAUGGUCCAGCUCAAAGCUUUUGUUGUGCUAAUGUUGGAACUUGCUGCUACCUGAAGCAGUUAUCGUUUCAUAAACAAUGAUGCUGCCACUGCUCUGUGGAUAAACUGUCCUUUAUACUUUGCAGGGCCCACCAUGGGUGUUGACGGCUUCAUGAUGGUAAGAAGAGAACCCCCAGUCAUCCAGCUGGCGUGGCAGCCAAAGAGAAACACUUAAUCGGAUGGAGAUGAGAGCCCACCAGAGCAUAUAAUAGUCGCUGCUCCAAGAAGGCUGAGAUUCUAGGAUGCACGCACAGCCCACUCUCAACUCAUGACCUCCUCUGUGCCCAGGGAGCAGAACCUGCUAAUGAGAGGAACAGAAAAACCCACACAGAGCUCACAUUCAAGUGCAGAGGACAGACACAUACAUGAGUCACCACAGCCCAAGGCAGCAUGGCCAUGGCAGAGAAAGAGCCCCACUUGUUCUUCAAGAAUG
RNAcentral lists this long non-coding RNA (627 nucleotides) under Homo sapiens (human). RNAcentral's name for it is "HSALNT0227339". The record is from RNAcentral. Lineage: Eukaryota; Metazoa; Chordata; Mammalia; Primates; Hominidae.